CGGUUGAUCCUGCCGGAGGUCACUGCUAUCAGUGUUCGACUAAGCCAUGCAAGUCAAAUGUUCUUCGUGAACAUGGCGGACUGCUCAGUAACACGUGGAUAACCUGCCCUUAGGAUUGGCAUAACACCGGGAAACUGGUGAUAAUACCGAAUAGACCAUUUAUGCUGGAAUGCUUUUUGGUUCAAAGGCUUCGGCUGCCUAAGGAUGGAUCUGCGGCCUAUCAGGUAGUAGUGGGUGUAAUGUACCUACUAGCCUACGACGGGUACGGGUUGUGAGAGCAAGAGCCCGGAGAUGGAUUCUGAGACAUGAAUCCAGGCCCUACGGGGCGCAGCAGGCGCGAAAACUUUACAAUGCGGGAAACCGCGAUAAGGGGACACUGAGUGCCAGCAUAUUAUGUUGGCUGUCCACAUGUAUAAAAACCAUGUGUUAGCAAGGGCCGGGCAAGACCGGUGCCAGCCGCCGCGGUAACACCGGCGGCCCGAGUGGUGAUCACUUUUAUUGGGUCUAAAGGGUCCGUAGCCGGUUUGAUCAGUCUUCUGGGAAAUCUGACAGCUCAACUGUUAGGCUUUCAGGGGAUACUGUCAGACUUGGGACCGGGAGAGGUAAGAGGUACUACAGGGGUAGGAGUGAAAUCUUGUAAUCCCUGUGGGACCACCAGUGGCGAAGGCGUCUUACCAGAACGGGUCCGACGGUGAGGGACGAAAGCUGGGGGCACGAACCGGAUUAGAUACCCGGGUAGUCCCAGCCGUAAACGAUGUUCGCUAGGUGUCAGGGACGGUGCGACCGUUUCUGGUGCCGUAGGGAAGCCGUGAAGCGAACCACCUGGGAAGUACGGCCGCAAGGCUGAAACUUAAAGGAAUUGGCGGGGGAGCACUACAACGGGUGGAGCCUGCGGUUUAAUUGGAUUCAACGCCGGAAAACUCACCGGGUGCGACAGCAAUAUGUAGGUCAGGCUGAAGGUCUUACCUGAUCGCUGAGAGGAGUGCAUGAUGUCGUCAGGUCGUACUGUGAGGCAUCUGAUAGUCAGGCCAACGAGGCGGAGAAACCUCGGGCGCUCUCACAGAG
Molecule: ribosomal RNA, 1065 nt
Filed under: uncultured Methanosarcinales archaeon
Lineage: Archaea; Methanobacteriati; Methanobacteriota; Methanomicrobia; Methanosarcinales
Description: bacterial SSU rRNA
Rfam family: Archaeal small subunit ribosomal RNA
Source: RNAcentral